UGGCAACAUGAAACCUUGGCUUGAAUUAGGUAUACCGGACUACAAGAAGUACUGGAAGAGGUUUCUUGUCCGAGGAGAUCGAUUUAUGGACGAGUGCAACGUAAAUCCGUGAUGCAGUUGGACCUGAAAUCACAACAAGUGAGUAAAUCUGUGACGCAGUUGGACCUGAAGUCAGAACAAUUAGGAUAGAUGGCUACAUCAGCUAGCCUUACUUAAGUUUGUGCCGGCAAAUUGUGGAAGAGAACGAAUUCUAGUGGUGGAGCC
This 264-nucleotide long non-coding RNA is filed under the name Sorghum bicolor (sorghum). RNAcentral describes it as "long non-coding RNA (SBIC_LNC003943)". The record is from RNAcentral. Lineage: Eukaryota; Viridiplantae; Streptophyta; Magnoliopsida; Poales; Poaceae.